CCUACGGGUGGCUGCAGUGGGGAAUAUUGGACAAUGGGCGAAAGCCUGAUCCAGCCAUGCCGCGUGUGUGAAGAAGGCCUUCGGGUUGUAAAGCACUUUCAGUGGGGAAGAAAGCCUUGGGGCUAAUACCCUCGAGGAAGGACAUCACCCACAGAAGAAGCACCGGCUAACUCCGUGCCAGCAGCCGCGGUAAUACGGAGGGUGCGAGCGUUAAUCGGAAUUACUGGGCGUAAAGCGCGCGUAGGCGGUCUGAUAAGCCGGUUGUGAAAGCCCCGGGCUCAACCUGGGAACGGCAUUCGGAACUGUCAGGCUAGAGUGCAGGAGAGGAAGGUAGAAUUCCCGGUGUAGCGGUGAAAUGCGUAGAGAUCGGGAGGAAUACCAGUGGCGAAGGCGGCCUUCUGGACUGACACUGACGCUGAGGUGCGAAAGCGUGGGUAGCAAACAGGAUUAGAUACCCGGGUAGUC
This 465-nucleotide ribosomal RNA is filed under the name Vreelandella stevensii. RNAcentral describes it as "partial 16S ribosomal RNA". It matches the Rfam family "Bacterial small subunit ribosomal RNA", at positions 338 to 795 of the family's 1533-position model. Lineage: Bacteria; Pseudomonadati; Pseudomonadota; Gammaproteobacteria; Oceanospirillales; Halomonadaceae. The record is from RNAcentral.